Molecule: ribosomal RNA, 376 nt
Filed under: uncultured bacterium
Lineage: Bacteria
Description: bacterial SSU rRNA
Rfam family: Bacterial small subunit ribosomal RNA
Source: RNAcentral
UACGAACCGUACGAACGUUAUUCGGAAUCACUGGGCUUAAAGCGUGCGUAGGCGGCUUGGAAAGUUGGGUGUGAAAUCCCUCGGCUCAACCGAGGAAUUGCGCCCAAUACUGCCAGGCUUGAGGGAGGUAGAGGUAAGCGGAACUAAUGGUGGAGCGGUGAAAUGCGUUGAUAUCAUUAGGAACACCUGUGGCGAAAGCAGCUUACUGGGCCUCUUCUGACGCUGAGGCACGAAAGCUAGGGGAGCGAACGGGAUUAGAUACCCCGGUAGUCCUAGCUGUAAACGAUGAGCACUGGAUUGAGGAGACUUCCACAUCUUCUCGGUCGUAGCGAAAGUGUUAAGUGCUCCGCCUGGGGAGUAUGGUCGCAAGGCUGAA